This 467-nucleotide ribosomal RNA is filed under the name uncultured bacterium. RNAcentral describes it as "partial 16S ribosomal RNA". It matches the Rfam family "Bacterial small subunit ribosomal RNA", at positions 28 to 507 of the family's 1533-position model. The record is from RNAcentral.
GAUGAACGCUGGCGGCGUGCUUAACACAUGCAAGUCGAACGGAAAGGCCCAAGCUUGCUUGGGUACUCGAGUGGCGAACGGGUGAGUAACACGUGGGUGAUCUGCCCUGCACUUCGGGAUAAGCCUGGGAAACUGGGUCUAAUACUGGAUAGGACCACUUCUUGGAUGUUGUGGUGGAAAGUUUUUUCGGUGUGGGAUGAGCUCGCGGCCUAUCAGCUUGUUGGUGGGGUAAUGGCCUACCAAGGCGUCGACGGGUAGCCGGCCUGAGAGGGUGUACGGCCACAUUGGGACUGAGAGACGGCCCAGACUCCUACGGGAGGCAGCAGUGGGGAAUAUUGCACAAUGGGCGCAAGCCUGAUGCAGCGACGCCGCGGGGGGGAUGACGGCCUUCGGGUUGUAAACUCCUUUCGCUAGGGACGAAGCGUUUUGUGACGGUACCUGGAGAAGAAGCACCGGCUAACUACGUG